RNAcentral lists this ribosomal RNA (253 nucleotides) under uncultured bacterium. Its description in RNAcentral is "partial 16S ribosomal RNA". It matches the Rfam family "Bacterial small subunit ribosomal RNA", at positions 524 to 776 of the family's 1533-position model. The record is from RNAcentral.
UACAGAGGGGGCAAGCGUUGUUCGGAAUUACUGGGCGUAAAGGGCGCGUAGGCGGCCCGCUAAGUCGAACGUGAAAUCCCCGAGCUCAACUCGGGAACUGCGUCCGAUACUGGCGGGCUUGAAUCCGGGAGAGGGAUGCGGAAUUCCAGGUGUAGCGGUGAAAUGCGUAGAUAUCUGGAGGAACACCGGUGGUGAAGGCGGCAUCCUGGACCGGCAUUGACGCUGAGGCGCGAAAGCUAGGGGAGCAAACGGG